Molecule: non-coding RNA, 115 nt
Filed under: uncultured eukaryote
Lineage: Eukaryota
Source: RNAcentral
GUAAGAGAGAAAUAAAACAGAAAAAAAAUGGUGAAAAGCUGUAAUAACUUUUGUCUGUUUUUAUUUACCAUCCUGAAUGAAUGAGUUUAUGUUUGGGUUUGUUUUCUCUACUCAU